Molecule: long non-coding RNA, 460 nt
Organism: Gasterosteus aculeatus aculeatus (three-spined stickleback)
Lineage: Eukaryota; Metazoa; Chordata; Actinopteri; Perciformes; Gasterosteidae
Source: Ensembl
CCUGACUGACCCAGAUGAAUUUGAUUCAAGUGACUCAACAGUCAUUCUGAUCUCCCCUCAAAAGGGGGGCAGCAUUCAAGCAUUCAAGACUUCCCUUCUGAAGGGAGUAGCACCCCAGACUCGGGCAGCAAUGCCAGAUAUGCCCGCAUCUUUGCGUAAGAAGAAAACUCCAAACCGACAGACACAAGAAAAUUCCAGAGGACAUUGGACAUGUGAUGGGGGAGCUUCAACGCAUUCUGGACAAAAAUAACAUCCAUUACAUUGAUGAGCUGAAGGGAAGAUGGGACGACUUCUGCCAGAAGGUGCAGUUUUUUGGUGUGUGGAAAAAGCUGCUGAAACCCUCAGUAGGAAUGGACAAAGGCUCUCAGUAUCCUACGUGUGCUGCCUUCAUUGUUCCCCUCUUCAUCUGCUCCUCUGAAGAAGUUAGGACAUGUGAGUGAGGCUCUUGUGCAUGUCCUCG